UCUGUACGAAGUCUUGAUCAGCCUGCCGCGUGUUGAAGAAGGCCUUCGGAUUGAAGUCUGUUGUUAGGGAGGACAGGUGCCGUUCAAUAACGGCGGCGCCUGGACGUUACCUAACCAGAAAGCCCCGGUUAAUUCGUGGCCACCACCCGGGGAAAUACGAAGGUGGCAGGCGUUGUCCGAAUUUAUGGGGGGAAAAGCGCGCGCAGGUGGUUUCUUAAGUCUGAUGUGAAACCCCACGGCUCACCCGUGGAGGGUCUUUGGAAACUGGGGAACUUGAGUGCGGAAAAGGAAAGUGGAAUUCCAAGUGUAACGGGGAAAUGCGUAAAUAUUUGGAGGAACACCAGUGGCAAAGGGGACUUUCUGGUCUGUAACUGACCCUGAGGGCCAAAAGCGGGGGAAGCAAACAGGAUUAAAUACCCGGGAAUCCCCCCCCGAAAACAAUGAGAGCUAAAGGUUAGAGGCUUUCCGCCCUUUAUUGCUGCAGCUAACGCAUUAAGCACUCCGCCUGGGGAGUACGGUCGCAAGACUGAAACUCAAAAGAAUUGACGGGGCCCCGCACAAGCGGUGGAGCAUGUGUUUUAAUUCGAAGCAACGCGAAGAACCUUACCAGGUCUUGACAUCCUCAGACUACCCUAGAGAUAGGGCUGUCCCCUUCGGAGCACAGAGUGACGGGUGGUGCGUGUGUGUCGUCAGCUCGUGUCGUGAGAUGUUGAAAUAACUCCCGCAACGAGCGCCCCCCUUGAUCUUAUCUGCCAGCAUUCAGUUGGACACUCUAAGAUGACUGCCGGUGACAAACCGGAGGAAGGUGGGGAUGACGUCAAGUCAUCAUGCCUCUUA
Molecule: ribosomal RNA, 837 nt
Filed under: Bacillus sp. BLCJ 2
Lineage: Bacteria; Bacillati; Bacillota; Bacilli; Caryophanales; Bacillaceae
Description: bacterial SSU rRNA
Rfam family: Bacterial small subunit ribosomal RNA
Source: RNAcentral